RNAcentral lists this ribosomal RNA (456 nucleotides) under Laevichlamys weberi. RNAcentral describes it as "partial 16S ribosomal RNA". It matches the Rfam family "Bacterial large subunit ribosomal RNA", at positions 1833 to 2596 of the family's 2925-position model. Lineage: Eukaryota; Metazoa; Mollusca; Bivalvia; Pectinida; Pectinidae. The record is from RNAcentral.
GCUUUNUGAAAAACACGGUCGUGCCUUCCCAGUGGGUAUACGGCCUAAACGGACGCGGUAAACGUGCUAAGGUAGCUAAAUUAUGGCCUAUUAAUUGUAGGUCCUGUGAAUGGUUUGACGAGUCUCCAUCUGUCUCGAGGUUAUUUUGGUGAACUUGAAUUAAAUGUGCAAAUGCAUUUAUAGGUGAGAAAGACGAGAAGACCCCGUGAAGUUAAAAAUUGGCGUAAGGGGAUCAUGGGUUUUGGCUGGGGCAGCAAAAAGGCAAAGCUAGACCUUUUUUGACGGGUGCGUUAUGAUCCACAGAGAUGUGCUUAGCAGAAGAAGUUACUCCGGGGAUAACAGCGUUAUCAUCCUGAUAGUUCUUAUAUACGGGUGGGUUUGCGACCUCGAUGUUGGCUCUGGGUGUCCUGAGGCUGANGCGGNCUUAAGGGUUGGUUUGUUCGCCCAUUAAAACCC